RNAcentral lists this transfer RNA (82 nucleotides) under Echinostoma caproni. It matches the Rfam family "tRNA". From Rfam's summary of the family: Transfer RNA (tRNA) molecules are approximately 80 nucleotides in length. Lineage: Eukaryota; Metazoa; Platyhelminthes; Trematoda; Plagiorchiida; Echinostomatidae. The record is from Rfam by way of RNAcentral.
GGCCUCGUAGCUCAGCUGGUGGAGCAUGCGCGUACAAAGCGUAGGCCGCGUCUAGGCGUGGGUUCGAAUCCCACCGAGGCUA